Molecule: unclassified non-coding RNA, 208 nt
Filed under: uncultured Mycena
Lineage: Eukaryota; Fungi; Basidiomycota; Agaricomycetes; Agaricales; Tricholomataceae
Description: sequence contains ITS2
Source: RNAcentral
AAUUAUCAACCUUGCUCGCUUUUACUAGCUUGAGUUAGGCUUGGAUGUGAGGGUUUUGCAGGCUUUUGUGGUCUGCUCCCUUUAAAUGCAUUAGUGGGAUCUAUUGUGGACCGUCACUUGGUGUGAUAAUUAUCUAUGCCUUGAGACUUUGAAACAAACUUAUUAGAACCUGCUCAUAACCGUCCUUCACGGGACAACUUUUGACAAU